RNAcentral lists this unclassified non-coding RNA (162 nucleotides) under soil metagenome. Its description in RNAcentral is "partial internal transcribed spacer 1". The record is from RNAcentral.
CACAAAUUAAAAUAUGAAGGCUUCGGCUGGAUUAUUUUUAUCACCCUUGUCUUUUGCGCACUUGUUGUUUCCUGGGCGGGUUCGCCCGCCACCAGGACCACACCAUAAACCUUUUUUUAUGCAAUUGCAAUCAGCGUCAGUAUAACAAAUGUAAAUCAUUUG